UGGGGAAUAUUGGACAAUGGGCGAAAGCCUGAUCCAGCCAUGCCGCGUGAGUGAUGACGGCCUUAGGGUUGUAAAGCUCUUUUACCCGGGAAGAUAAUGACGGUACCGGGAGAAUAAGCCCCGGCUAACUUCGUGCCAGCAGCCGCGGUAAUACGAAGGGGGCUAGCGUUGUUCGGAUUUACUGGGCGUAAAGCGCACGUAGGCGGAUUCUUAAGUCAGGGGUGAAAUCCCGAGGCUCAACCUCGGAACUGCCUUUGAUACUGGGGAUCUUGAGUUCGGGAGAGGUGAGUGGAACUGCGAGUGUAGAGGUGAAAUUCGUAGAUAUUCGCAAGAACACCAGUGGCGAAGGCGGCUCACUGGCCCGAUACUGACGCUGAGGUGCGAAAGCGUGGGGAGCAAACAGG
RNAcentral lists this ribosomal RNA (404 nucleotides) under uncultured Beijerinckiaceae bacterium. RNAcentral's name for it is "bacterial SSU rRNA". It matches the Rfam family "Bacterial small subunit ribosomal RNA", at positions 355 to 776 of the family's 1533-position model. The record is from RNAcentral. Lineage: Bacteria; Pseudomonadati; Pseudomonadota; Alphaproteobacteria; Hyphomicrobiales; Beijerinckiaceae.